GACGAACGCUGGCGGCGUGCUUAACACAUGCAAGUCGAACGGAAAGGCCCUGCUUUUGUGGGGUGCUCGAGUGGCGAACGGGUGAGUAACACGUGAGUAACCUGCCCUUGACUUUGGGAUAACUUCAGGAAACUGAGGCUAAUACCGGAUAGGAGCUCCUGCUGCAUGGUGGGGGUUGGAAAGUUUCGGCGGUUGGGGACGGACUCGCGGCUUAUCAGCUUGUUGGUGGGGUAGUGGCUUACCAAGGCUUUGACGGGUAGCCGGCCUGAGAGGGUGACCGGCCACAUUGGGACUGAGAUACGGCCCAGACUCCUACGGGAGGCAGCAGUGGGGAAUAUUGCACAAUGGGCGGAAGCCUGAUGCAGCAACGCCGCGUGCGGGAUGACGGCCUUCGGGUUGUAAACCGCUUUCGCCUGUGACGAAGCGUGAGUGACGGUAAUGGGUAAAGAAGCACCGGCUAACUACGUG
This 468-nucleotide ribosomal RNA is filed under the name uncultured bacterium. RNAcentral describes it as "partial 16S ribosomal RNA". It matches the Rfam family "Bacterial small subunit ribosomal RNA", at positions 28 to 507 of the family's 1533-position model. The record is from RNAcentral.